Molecule: non-coding RNA, 3481 nt
Organism: Triticum urartu
Lineage: Eukaryota; Viridiplantae; Streptophyta; Magnoliopsida; Poales; Poaceae
Source: RefSeq, a predicted model, not a curated record
CUCAAAAAAGAGAAGAAUUAGAGCCACCACACGACCUGUUCUCCCCCAAAUCGGCCCCUCCCUAGACCUCCUCCUCGACCGCCGCCGCCGCCCCCUCUGCCGUUGACCACGCCCUCCGCCUCCCCCCCCUUUGGUUGACCUGUACGACCCCAUCGGGAUCUAUGGCGGCGGUGCUUGGAUCUCGGCGUCGCCUCCCUCGAUACGCCUAUGGUGUGCGAGGUCAUCGUUGCCUCCCUCCCUUUGACACCACCACCAGAUCUGGUCGACGAUGCCGGUCGCCUCCAUCUCUUCUUUACAGUCCAUCACGCCGACGAGCAUAGGCCCCCACCACGGCUUCCUCCCCGCCAACGGAAAGCGUGGUGUCCCAUCUCUACUAUGCUGGUACAAUACUUUCCUCAGAUCCGUCUUGGUGGAAACCCGAUGCAGGUGCUAUUAGUGAAAGGAUUGGAGACUAGUUCUAGCAGUGGUUGGUUUGUUCGAGGAAUUCCUGGUGCUCGUGAUUAGUAAAGGGUUUCAGCCCAGGUUCAGACAUUGCGCAACUGAAGACUGUGUAUACUAGUCAAAGGCACGAGCUAUGCACGUGUUCUUCACUCACUCAUCUGUUUAUUUGAGCAACAUUUAUUUUCAGACGGGAGUAGUAUGUAUGCUGUUGAGUGUUAAAUCCCGUCCAAAGGAUUGGCAAGUUGCUGCUUCAAAAAUUGGUAGAUACAAACGAUUAGUGCUCUGUACAAGCUAGUUGUUUAUAGAAGGAAGGUUACUCUAGUCAUCGUUGUUUCCCAAUCAUAGCCACAAAAGAUCUUGAAUAGCAAAGUUUCACCAGUGGGCCCAUUUGGAACCGUCAGGAUUCCAGAAAGGUCCUGGAGUCGUUUUGGCGCUUGCCCAUACAUAGCAAAUCUAAGAAAUGUCAACCAUUAGAUCUCUUGGGCAAGGUACUGAUGAACGGUGGAUAUUCAUUUUAUGGAACAAAUCAAUGACUUGUAUUUGCUCUGGAGUCUGGGCGGACUGCUAAUCCAAAUUCAAAAAAUUAUGUACUAUAGUAGUAGGGGAAUGUAGUGCUCUAUAAAGUUUUUGGUGCCACAUCUGAAAGAGCUAAAUUUAUAGACAUGAGUGUGGAUUUGAUAUUAAAAAUUUCUCUACAAAAGUAGCUACUUUUCCUGCCCUGAUUUACCAUCUAGCUAAUUGUUUCAUAGGAGUUCAAUACUGAGGUAACAUUUUUUUUCUCUCAAACUUGUGCUUGAAUGUACCAAUGAAAAUGCUCUUCACAACUCUAAUUCUUGGUGCCAAUGGGUAUUCUUCCAUUUACUAUGAUUAAGUGCUCUUUGUCCUAAUUCUGGAUGUUAAAAGAAAAUGAACUUUGACUAAUGAACAUGUAGUUGGAAUGAACAAGUACCCUUGUUUAUCUCCAUUGAUCGAUUGAUGUCAGAUCAUUUAGUUCACUCGUUAUCAUGCACAUAUACUUGUACAUGUAAGAAAAGCAAUCAGAUAGAGAAUCUCUUUCUGUCUCUUCUGUGUUUGCUACAAAUAUAUACUAAAAGUGGAGUACUGCUUCUAGAGUUUAAAGAUUUGAACUUGCAAAAGUGUUAGUUCUCUGAUAUUAAGUUUAUUAUUUAUGUACUGUGAAAGUUGUUGUCUGAAUGUGAUAUACCCAUAUAUUAUAUAAAGAACAAGUUCACAUCGGUACCAAAAAUUAUGCUUAAACUUUCAUGCCAUCUAAUAGAUAGUAGUUUGUGUAUACUUUUCAACUUCACAAGCAUUGCAGUAACUACAUUGUCACAGGAAAUUAGAUAUUUUGAGAAGCUUCUACAAGAUCUUGAUAUCAUUUUUGUUCUAUCCCUUGAUCCUGUGCUUGAGAAGGUGCUUCCCUAAAUUGCACAAGUCCGAAAACUUGUACGUGAUUUGAUGUUCUUCUGGUGGUCACACUUACAUCCUUCAAGGAUCAUCCUUAUCAGUUAUUAUAGUAAAUUUGUCGAUUUAGCGUUGUAAUUGCUAUUUGCACUAUUAGGAGUAUCUCCUGGAAAAAAAUCUUCUAUAGACAAACGUGACUAAUAUAUGUGUGUUGUGUUAGAUAUAGAUUUGGUUAUGAGUUACUGCUUUUUGUGGUCAUGGGGAAAUUAAUCAUUCCAGGAUCUCAACAUUGUAGUAUUUUGCACAAAUUUGUGAAGUUCAACGCCUUAGUGUCAUGGCUCAGGACUAAAUGUUCUUGAGUUAUCACAUCAAAACUUGAGAUGUGAAAAUAAAACUACUUUUGCUUACUUGAUUCUUUUGAGCGUGCAUAUGAAACAAUGGUUAUCUAUGUCGCUUGCCUGUGCUAUCAGCUACUAUGAUCUAUCUUUCAUACUUAUAUACACAUUAUGCUUGGACAUGUGUUGUUUGUGUGAAAGGAAACAUCUAGUAUUUUGUAAUGCUUGAACUCAGGGUAAUCACUCCUUAAAUAUUUCUCCAUUUAAUCGAGUAAGAACAGUUCUUCAGAACAUUUUAUCAUUUUCAUCUUUAGACAUCUUGCUAGGAAGCACCAGGGAAUGUUUGCAGUUUUGAUUUAUAUUGUACGUAAAGGACUGUAGAUAUGCUCUCUGCCAGUGAAAACUUCUAGAUGAUCUAUGCACUAUGGCAGUGCCGCAGUGGAUACUUCUAAAUGACUGCGCACAUGUUUUUAUUAAGUCUUAUCAGUAUAGGGAGUUCAAUAAUCUUUUGGUGCUAAACAAGCGGAUGCUACAACUGAAUACUAAAUCAUUAAAACGUUGUAGGAGUUUUACAAGCAAGCUUUGGGUAAAAAGAUUUUUGUAUUGUGCUGUUUAUUCCCAUUAGUCGAUCGAUGUGAGAUCAUCUAGUUCAACUGUCAUCAUGCACAUAUACUGUUACAUGGAAGAAAAAUAACUAGCUAGAGAACUUAUUUAUGUCUCCUUUCAUUUUGCUGCUAAGACAGACUGAAAGUGGAGUACUCUUCUAGAGUUUAAUUGUUAGUACAUGCUGAUUUUAUAAGGUUGGGGUCUUCAAUCUAGUUUUUACUCAAUAAGUUACUGUUUCUUAAGAAUAACAUGAAGCAUGGAUUCUUAUAUGUUCCAUGUAUUAUGUCAGGGCAAGUAAUUAUCAGCUGAGCAAAGGCUACAAGAUGCUAGGAGGAGAAGUUUGAAUGGAGGCAGAGAGUACACUAGGAAAUAGAAUGGAAAAAGGAAGAGAAGACAAUGCUGAAGCACAAGAGUGAGAGGCUAGCGGAAGUUAAAGCAAUAAACUAUAAGAAUUUUGAAUGAUUAUGGCCUCGUGUUGUUGGGAACAUUACAACCAUGGGGAAAGCUAAUUUUGGUUGCUAGUUUAGCAUAGAACACUAUAUGCUCAUUUUGGUCGUGUCGCAUCCAAAAACAUAUGUAAUUUUCCUUUUGUUGCACAACACCCUUAUAUAUGGGCGUUUCUAGGAACAUAUGUAUUUGGUCGUUAAUUUCAUUGAAUGAAGUUAAGUUUUACGAUGAGGUCCAUAUGUGAAUUA